ACGCUGGCGGCACGCCUAACACAUGCAAGUCGAACGAAGUAGCAAUACUUAGUGGCAGACGGGUGAGUAACAUGUAGGUAUCUGCCCUUUGGCCUGGAAUAACACGAGGAAACUUGUGCUAAUACCGGAUAAGUCUUUACGGAGAAAGCUUUAUGCACCAUUGGAUGAGCCUGCACUUGAUUAGUUUGUUGGUGGGGUAAUGGCCUACCAAGACUGUGAUCAAUAGCUGAUUUGAGAGGAUGAUCAGCCACAUUGGGACUGAGACACGGCCCAAACUCCUACGGGAGGCAGCAGUGGGGAAUCUUGCACAAUGGAGGAAACUCUGAUGCAGCGAUGCCGCGUGAGUGAAGAAGGCCCUUGGGUUGUAAAGCUCUUUCGUCGGGGAAGAAAAUGACUGUACCCGAAUAAGAAGGUCCGGCUAACUUCGUGCCAGCAGCCGCGGUAAUACGAAGGGACCUAGCGUAGUUCGGAAUUACUGGGCUUAAAGAGUUCGUAGGUGGUUGAAAAAGUUAGUGGUGAAAUCCCAGAGCUUAACUCUGGAACUGCCAUUAAAACUUUUUAGCUAGAGUAUGAUAGAGGAAAGCAGAAUUUCUAGUGUAGAGGUGAAAUUCGUAGAUAUUAGAAAGAAUACCAAUUGCGAAGGCAGCUUUCUGGAUCAUUACUGACACUGAGGAACGAAAGCAUGGGUAGCGAAGAGGAUUAGAUACCCUCGUAGUCCAUGCCGUAAACGAUGUGUGUUAGACGUUGGAAAUUUAUUUUCAGUGUCGCACCGAAAGCGAUAAACACACCGCCUGG
This 795-nucleotide ribosomal RNA is filed under the name uncultured Alphaproteobacteria bacterium. RNAcentral describes it as "bacterial SSU rRNA". It matches the Rfam family "Bacterial small subunit ribosomal RNA", at positions 33 to 876 of the family's 1533-position model. The record is from RNAcentral. Lineage: Bacteria; Pseudomonadati; Pseudomonadota; Alphaproteobacteria.